This 3535-nucleotide unclassified non-coding RNA is filed under the name Hevea brasiliensis (rubber tree). The record is from RNAcentral. Lineage: Eukaryota; Viridiplantae; Streptophyta; Magnoliopsida; Malpighiales; Euphorbiaceae.
UCUUGCUGAUAUACCUUAUGGUUCAAAAUCAGAUAUUUGGUCAUUGGGAUGCUGUAUAUACGAAAUGACUGCUCUGAAGCCUGCAUUUAAAGCUUUUGUAAGUUUCAUGGACCCUGAUUAAAUACCUUGUAGAUCUAAGAUGUAUUUUCUCAUUACGCUUUUUAAUGCAUGUAUGAACAUUGAACUACUGCUCCAAGUAAUAGCAAGCAUCAUCAUUAAGUUGAUUCUCACCAACAGUCAUGUAAUAUUUUUGCACGUAAUUACUCUAAUUUUUUAACCUAAAGUUUGGUGAGCAUUCACUUUAAUGAUUCAAUGGUGGUCCGAUAGUUGCCAGGGUAAAAUAGACAAACCAAUCCCCUGUGGUGUAGUUUCUCUGCACCCACCACCUUGUGGCCUUGAGAUUUUUGCUGUUAUGUUUUCUAUAGUGAACUUCUUAGAAAAAAUGCUUGGAUUCUUUUACAAAAUAGUUUAAAAUUAAGGCAAUUUGAUUUAGUGCUCGUUAAGACUUUUUGAGCAAAUUUACUCUGCUUUUCUGAAAUCCUGAGAAGUAAUUUUAUUUCUGGAUUUUAAAUCUACAAUUUCUGUUAACUUUGGAAAAAAUGUAAUGGACCAAGCUAUAAAAGAACAAGUUAACCUGUCCUCAUCAAUAAAGCACACUGCCAUUUUUUUGCCCAUUUUGCCAGAUUCAACAUGCCGGCUUUGUUUUUGGUGCUGCAAAUGCUCUUGAAUCCAACUUGAUUUGAGCUGUCCCUGCUUCUUAUUGCUCUGAUUUUAUUAUACAAUCAGUAACUCGUUAAAAUUGUGCCAUAAUUGAGUUUAGUUAAGUAUCAUUUUUUAAUUAAUUACUUGUCACAUUAAUCAUACUAGGGGCAAUGCUGCCAUCAGACUAGUAACUUAGUGGUUGAACGCCUAUUCCAUAAUGCAAAAGUAAGAGGUUCAAAUCCUAGCAACCCUUCCCCUUUAAAAAUUUUCCGCAUGCCAAAAGAGGGGGAAAAAAAAGAAAAGAAAAAAGAGUAAUGCUUGACUGAUCAUUUGACCACAUGAAUGGUCAAUAGGUAUUCACAGAGCUUUCAAGUUGACUUAAAUUAGGAGUGGGAGAUUCAAGCUAGAAUUAUCAUAUCACUGCUGAUUAUGCCUGUUAUCUCCACAGUGGACAAUACAAGUUCCACCACACUAAUUAUUUGAGUCUGUUAUUUGCUCGACAUGGUGAAUGAUAGGAGGCUUUCCUGCACAUCUCCAUUUGUUUUUGAGCCAUCUGACUGUUUUAAAUUUCCUUUUGUUUCUAAUUCUGGGUCUGCUUUAUUGUAUUUAAAUUAUUUUAAUUUGUCCUUUGAGCAGGAUAUGCAAGCUCUGAUUAACAAGAUAAAUAAAUCAAUAGUUGCUCCACUUCCAACUAAAUAUUCUGGUGCUUUGUAUGUUCUGUAUCCCUUCAUUUAAUAACUGCUGUAGCAGUUCAUUUUUAUAAAUGAUGGAUUUUUAGUGAAUGUUGUUAGUCUAAUCCUGUUAUGCUCCAGCCGAGGCCUUGUCAAAAGCAUGCUGCGGAAGAACCCAGAGCUUAGGCCAAGUGUAUGUGUAAUCUCCUCUGAUCUCUUCUUGUGUGAUAUAUGAAAAUCCUUAAGGGCGAUUUCAUAAUUUUAGGCUGGCAUAAAGAUGACGCAAAAUUUCACUUUAUUGGUUAUGCAACAAAAUAUUACCUGACCCACACAAAUGUGUUAGCCUCUACAGUCUGCUUUGCUCUACUAAGUAACAUAUAAAAGGAAAUAAGUUAUCUUUCUUGCUAAUUGCAAAUGCUUUCAGAAAUGAAAACAAACCUUAGCCAGAUUUACUACCAGUAAAUCUGCUAUAAAUUUUUUGGGUUAUGUUUUGGCAUGCUGUUACUGAUAAAUUAACCAUUGCCAUAGAAAUUUGAGUGCAUGUCUGUAUACAUGCUUGCGUGUAUUUAUGAGUUUGUGCUAGCAAAUUAAUGUGUUUUCUUCUAUUUGAAUAUCCAUUGAGGUAGGCUGCAGAGCUUCUCAGGCACCCAUAUCUUGAACCUUAUGUUCUCAAAGUUCAUCUCAAGAUUAAUAGCCCUAGACACAACGCAUUACCUUUCCAGUGGCCUGAAUCCAAUUACAUAAAGAAAACACGAUUUGCAGAUCCAGAAGAUCUUCCUCUUAAAUCUGACAGGAAGAAGCGACAUUCAUUCAGCAACAACAGGGCAUUAAACCCAAAUAUAUCUGCAGUAGAGCAAGACCUUGUGUGUUCUAUGAAAGGAAUACAUCGUAGGCUAUCAGAAUUAUCCAUUGGCAGCAGCAAUGAAGGAACAGUUAUUUGUAAACCAAUCACUGCUUCAAAACCUUCAAAUAUUGCCAAGACUUCUAAACUUGCUCCCACAAAAGCUUCUGUAACAACUAGGCGACGAACUGAGCCUGUGAAAAAACGUGAAUCUGUAAGAUAAUUGGAGUUCCUCUCUCUCAAACACACACUACAAAUCUCACAUGCUUGCACUCGCACACCUGCAUGGACACUGAGCUUCUAGAUUGCAACUUUACCUAGUACUGCAAACUGGGAUCUCACGUGUUGUUUUCUGCAUUUCAGCUUCCUAUUGUGCGCACUCCAACAAAAAAAUCAGUCCCUACAAAUCGCAGAACAUCUUUCCCUUUGCCAACGAAACCUACAAAUAUUGGAAUCCUUCAUAAUAUAAAAUCUCCAGAUGUCUCUGUCAAUGCUCCUCGAAUUGACAAGAUAGCUGAAUUCCCAUUAGCUUCAUAUGAAGAGACAUUCUUUCCUAUCAGGAGAACUUCGUCAACUUCAGCUCAAGCAUCAUGUGGCACCCCACAUCAUGGUGACCGCUCAAUCACAAAGGACAAAUGCACAGUUCAGGUUGACAGAGUCUCUGCCAAGCCCAACUUUACUGAUGCAUGGCAAGGAAUAAAACAUGGCAUGUUUCAGGUAGAGGAAGAGGAAGGAAGCAAUUCAUCUAAUCAAAAUGCAACAGCAGGUGCAUCGAGCCAUACGUCAUCGGACACAAGGCGCCAUAGGUUUGACACUUCAUCAUUCCAGCAACGUGCUGAAGCUCUGGAAGGGCUGCUUGAAUUUAGCGCAAGAUUACUGCAAGAGGAAAGGUAUGAAGAGCUUGGCGUGCUACUAAAGCCUUUUGGGCCUGGAAAGGCUUCCCCCAGGGAAACUGCUAUAUGGUUGACAAAAAGCUUCAAGGAGAAUACUCUCAAACCUGAAGAUUUAUAGCAACUGAUUCACUGUGUACCAUAUUAGUAGUUGUGACAGUUUUAGAGCUCGAUCUAUCAGCUUUUCAUAAAUGAUCUAAGGAGAGUCUCUAGAUACUUGGGCAGAUGCUUUUUAGGUUGUAAAUUUCAAUGUCCCUCUUCUUAUUCAGGAAUUGAUAGAUCAUGGAAAAAUUUGCGGUUAUUUAUCUUUGAAUUUUUUUUUUAAAUUUGAAAAGGAAUAAAUGCAAUCAGCGUUUAAACCUUGAUAUCUUGUAAUACGACAUAGACACUUGGCAAUCGGCUUAUCAUUCAAUCUAUGUGGAUUUAAUUUA